GAACAAAGUUGCUUACGGGGGGAGCACCCACCGAUUCCGAUCCAUCUUCUUCCAUGGCUAUGGCGACCUCGAGUUCAACCUUCAUCGCUUCUUCUUACGCUUCUCCUUCUCUGUUUCCAUGCCGGUCUAGGUUCUUGGACUCGGAGUUCGUUGCUCAUGUCCCUCACCGCUGCUUUGGUGGUGCUGCUAGGCUCACUUUUUUGCGGAAAUGGAAUAUCCUGAGUGCUUCAACCAAUGGUUUGAAUGCAGUCAGUCCAACAUCAUUGACUUUUGAUCAAGAUAAUGUGCCAAUGCCCAUAGUUCUCAUAGAUCAAGAUUCAGACUCCAAUGCAACAAUAGUGGAAGUCAGUUUUGGCGAUCGUCUUGGAGCUCUUAUUGAUACGAUGAGAGCAUUAAAAGAUUUGGGUUUGGAUGUGGCGAAGGGAACUGUUAGCACAGAGGGACCAGUCAAGCGAACAAAAUUCUAUCUGACAAGAUUAGACUCAGGCCGCAAAGUAGAAGAUCCUGAUUUGUUGGAGAGUAUUCGUUUAACCAUCAUCAACAACCUUUUGAAGUAUCAUCCAGAAUCUAG
Molecule: unclassified non-coding RNA, 571 nt
Filed under: Hevea brasiliensis (rubber tree)
Lineage: Eukaryota; Viridiplantae; Streptophyta; Magnoliopsida; Malpighiales; Euphorbiaceae
Source: RNAcentral